GUCGGGUCGUAAAGCACUUUUGGAAGGAAUAGGAAGGAAUGUACUUCCAGAAUAAGUCUCGGCUAACUACGUGCCAGCAGCCGCGGUAACACGUAGGAGGCAAACGUUAUCCGGAUUUACUGGGCGUAAAGCGCGUGUAGGUGGUACUGUAAGUAGGGCGUGAAAGCUCCUGGCUCAACUGGGAGAGGCCGUUCUAAACUACAGAACUAGAGGAUGGUAGAGGGAGGUGGAAUUCCAGGUGUAGCGGUGGAAUGCGCAGAUAUCUGGAGGAACACCGGUGGCGAAGGCGGCCUCCUGGACCAUUCCUGACACUCAGACGCGAAAGCUAGGGUAGCAAACGGGAUUAGAGACCCCGGUAGUCCUAGCCCUAAACGAUGUAGACUAGGCGUCGGAAGUUUAAUCACUUUCGGUGUCCAAGCUAACGCGAUAAGUCUACCGCCUGGGGACUACGGCCGCAAGGUUAAAACUCAAAGGAAUUGACGGGUCCCCGCACAAGCAGCGGAGCGUGUGGUUUAAUUCGUUGCUACACGAAGAACCUUACCUGGGUUUGACAUAGCAGUGGUAGGGAAGCGAAAGCGGACCGACCCUUCGGGGAGCUGUUACAGGUGUUGCAUGGCUGUCGUCAGCUCGUGUCGUGAGAUGUUCGGUUAAGUCCGCUAACGAGCGCAACCCGCGUUGUGUGUUACAAGUGUCACACAAUACCGCCGGUAUUAAGUCGGAGGAAGGUGCGGAUGACGUCAAGUCAGCAUGACCUUUAUAUCCAGGGCUACACACACGCUACAAUGGUCAGCACAAUAGGUUGCCAAGUCGUGAGACGGAGCCAAUCCUCCAAAGCUGGCCUCAGUUCAGAUUGCAGGCUGCAACUCGCCUGCAUGAAGUUGGAGUUGCUAGUAACCGCAGGUCAGCUAUACUGCGGUGAAUACGUUCCCGGGGAUUGCACACACCGCCCGU
Molecule: ribosomal RNA, 951 nt
Filed under: uncultured bacterium
Lineage: Bacteria
Description: bacterial SSU rRNA
Rfam family: Bacterial small subunit ribosomal RNA
Source: RNAcentral